CAGGCGCGGCGUGGUGGGGGUGUAGGGCGAGGUGACCUUGGCUCAGUCUUCUGUGCCAAAGUGUCGGGCGGCAACACGUGCGCGCACCUGGCCGUGCCUGGCCUGCCCGCCACCUGUAGCGGUCGCCGCACCGAGAGCCCCGCCCCCUUCCUGCGUGGCCCGCGUGGCCAGUGGGCAGGGCCGGGCGGCGCCCCGUGUCCCCCUGCGGCGCCCCGGCUGGCUGCCCGCCGCCGCCGCCGCCCUUCUGGCCAGAAGUAAAGGCCGUGCCUUGCCGGGGCCGGCUCCAGCCUGCUUCCUGGGCGACUCCGCGGGUGCUUCUCACAGUCUGGGGCUCGCGGGGGCGCCCAUCCCCUGUGGAAGGAGGACUCGAUCCCGCUCCUGGGGACACGCGCGUCCUGCUUCCUCCUUGUGGCAGCGCUCGGGGUCGAGGUGACCGAGACUCCCCAGAGCGGGGAAUGAGCCCGGGCUCUCGCCAGCGCAGGGAACAGGCCUGCGCAGGAACCGCGGGACCGGGUAACGCCCUGUACAGACCAAGGGAGAGGCGACUUCCGGUGCAAAUGCCACCUCUCGAGUUUCCGGUGCAGCCACGUUGACCUGGAGACCACGCAUUGGUCGAAGGCCGGAGGGAAGAGAAGCUCGAACCAGCCUGGGAGGGACCCUCCUAGUGCCACUGACGACAGAGACAGCGUCCGCACGGCCGAGAAGGGCUGGACACGCCACACACGGGUGAAGCAGGCAAUCUGUCCCGCAGAGGGGAGAUGGGCGGCCAGGCCUGGGUCUACCCCCACCACCGUGACCUUCCGAGAGGCCUCGUUAGCACCGUCUUCGUUUCCCUGUUGCAGCUGUCAGCAGGUCUGCUCACGGUCAGCGUUCCCAGUUCCACGGCACCGCAAACCGUCACUUUUGAUGCUUGCCGGGUUAUACCCUGCGGAAGCCUGGAGAACCAACGGCGGCUCUCCGGAGCUGACAAAUACCUCUGUCCCUACCCCGGGGUGGGAGGCACGAGGGCUCUCUGGGGAGCAGGUCCCUGCGGCCACUGGCUGGAUGUUCUCUGGACAACCCAGUACCAAGGCUGGACGUCAGAAGGGGGUGCACAUCCGAGUUUAAAACCCAAAAUUCACUUUUCAAAAGGGAUUCCCCCACCGAAUUGCAAAUUACAUCAGUGUAACCCUGUCACUAUUUCCAUAAACGUCCCCACUUCUGAAGACACAGCUUUAAAUAGAACUUUUGGGAUGGGAGCAGAUAUAACGGGGACGGACCCAAUUGGACAGUUCUCUUUAAAAAUACUGUCUCCUGCCUCAACCGUCCCAACCCCUACUGCCUCUGCAAGACCUGGCGCUGGCUCUGUACCUGUGUCUUUCCCCAGCGACCCGUCGAAGGUAACCAUUGGAGAAGUCAAGGAUUUAAGGUAGACAGUUGCACUAGAAACUGCGUAUGAGGAUGCAAAUGCCUGGUUAGAAUGGAUCAAAUGUUCUGUCCCCACCCUAAAUAAGAGUGACUGUGAUGCCUGUGUGAUGGGAAGACCAGAGGCCCAGAUAGUUCGCUUUCCACGUGGAUGGUCUGUGGAUCCUACGGGCAGGCACUGGAUGGCAGCCUCUUCCAGGAGACCACGGCGUGGGGGAAUGAAUCAUGCAAAACCCCAUCAUUGCUCUUCCCUGACGUGAGAGGUCUUGCGGGUCAGCCCCCGGGGACCGUGAGGCCACCAGCCUGUGUCAACUUCACCCUGUUUCUCUAGACAGGAGGAGGGGGCGGUGUCUCUUGGAAACAAGACAGGGUCCAAUGAAAGCCUGGCCGGCAAGAAGCUACAGGAUCAGUCUGCCCUCUCCAUACUCCGAGGAGGCGUCUGGCGGGAUUGUAAAGACUGACUGAGGUCCUACCGGGAAGCUGGAGUGGCACCUGGGCUUUGGUGCAACUGGCCAUCCUUCAGCUCCCAGUUGAGGAAAGGAGACAUCGGACAAAAAGAGAAAUAGAUGCCCCCAGACGAUCUUUUGAUCCCCAUAUUUUUAUUCAUGCUAUUGGAGUCCCCCAAGGGGGACCCAGUGAAUUCAAAGCUAGAAAUCAAAUAGCUGCUGGGUUUGAAUCUAUAUUCUUCUGGUGGUCCACUGUAAAGAAAAAUGUAGACUGGGUCAACUACAUAUACUAUAAUCAGCAAAGGUUUGUAAAUUAUACCGGGGAUGCCAUCAAAGGUACAGUCGAACAACUGGGACCCCCCCAGUACAAUGACCUGGGAGAAUGGCUUUCGAUGUGUCAGCAGGCAGAGGUGGAGGUGUGUCAUGGUUGGAGACCAGAGCUGCCCUUACACCCCAACAACACAGCUCCGAUGACAGUCACCAAGGCUCUGCAAGGACCUGCUGCCGUGGCUAAUGAGCUGGCCGAACACUCAGGGGCAGAGGACCCUUCACCAGCCUCCUGGCACGGCAGUUUGGAAAAUGGAGAGGGCUGACGACGUCAGUGCUGACUUCCUUAAUUAUUGUGUUUGGUGCCUUAACAUCAGUGGGAUGUUGCAUUAUCCCUUGUGCUGGGGGACUAAUCCAGAGAUUAGUAGAAACAGCCCUAAGCAAACAACCUCUUCCACUGCCGUAUGAACCCAAGUUGUUAGUGCUGGAAGACCAAGAACACCAAAGUCGCCUCCUCACUGGAUUUGAAGAAGCGUGAAAAGGUUGAACACGAAGGGGGAAAUUGGAGGAGAAGAUAACCUUGGCCUAAUCCUUUCUGCCAAAGUAUCAGGAGGUAACUCUCUUCCUCAUACCUUACCGUGUCUGACUUUCCACACUAAGAGCCCCCUACCCCUCUUCCUUUCUGCCCGAGCAACAUGCUUAGCCAGCCGGGCAAGGGCGGGGGUGUGCGGUGGGAGUCCCUGCCAGUGGGACGCGUCAGGGACAAAGGUGAAGACCUUCCCUGCAGCAGGCUGGCUCCCCCCGCUGCCCCCAGCGCCCUUCUGAUGGGAAGUAAAGCUUGUGCCUUGCCGAGACCA
Lemur catta (Ring-tailed lemur) is the source of this 2974-nucleotide long non-coding RNA. RefSeq lists it as uncharacterized. The transcript is spliced from 2 exons. The record is from RefSeq and is a predicted model, not a curated record. NCBI's taxonomy places the organism in Eukaryota, Metazoa, Chordata, Mammalia, Primates, Lemuridae.